AGUAACGCGUGGGUAACCUGCCUCAUACAGGGGGAUAGCAGCUGGAAACGGCUGAUAAAACCGCAUAAGCGCACAGCAUCGCAUGAUGCAGUGUGAAAAACUCCGGUGGUAUGAGAUGGACCCGCGUCUGAUUAGCUGGUUGGUGAGGUAACGGCCCACCAAGGCGACGAUCAGUAGGGGUUCUGAGAGGAAGGUCCCCCACAUUGGAACUGAGACGCGGUCCAA
This 225-nucleotide ribosomal RNA is filed under the name uncultured bacterium. RNAcentral's name for it is "partial 16S ribosomal RNA". It matches the Rfam family "Bacterial small subunit ribosomal RNA", at positions 109 to 334 of the family's 1533-position model. The record is from RNAcentral.